UCCCUGGUGGUCUAGUGGCUAAGGAUCAAGGCCUGAGCUCUUACUGCUGUGGCCUGGGUUCAAUUCCUGGCCAGGGAC
This is a non-coding RNA of Pangasius djambal, 78 nucleotides long. NCBI's taxonomy places the organism in Eukaryota, Metazoa, Chordata, Actinopteri, Siluriformes, Pangasiidae. The record is from the annotation of a GenBank genome assembly.